This 426-nucleotide ribosomal RNA is filed under the name uncultured bacterium. Its description in RNAcentral is "bacterial SSU rRNA". It matches the Rfam family "Bacterial small subunit ribosomal RNA", at positions 355 to 776 of the family's 1533-position model. The record is from RNAcentral.
UCGAGAAUCUUCCGCAAUGGGCGAAAGCCUGACGGAGCGACGCCGCGUGCGGGAUGAAGGCCUUCGGGUUGUAAACCGCUGUCAGUGGGGAGGAAAUGCACGGGGGUUCUCCCUCGUGUUUGACCGAUCCGCAGAGGAAGCACAGGCUAAGUUCGUGCCAGCAGCCGCGGUAACACGAACUGUGCGAACGUUAUUCGGAAUUACUGGGCUUAAAGAGUUCGUAGGCGGCUUGUUAAGUCGGGUGUGAAAUCCCUCGUCUCAACCGAGGAAUUGCGUUCGAAACUGGCAGGCUUGAGUGAGAUAGAGGUGAGCGGAACUGAUGGUGGAGCGGUGAAAUGCGUUGAUAUCAUCAGGAACACCGGUUGCGAAGGCGGCUCACUGGGUCUUUACUGACGCUGAGGAACGAAAGCUAGGGGAGCGAACGGG